This is a long non-coding RNA of Electrophorus electricus (electric eel), 1046 nucleotides long. The record is from Ensembl. Lineage: Eukaryota; Metazoa; Chordata; Actinopteri; Gymnotiformes; Gymnotidae.
UUGUGAUCAUGUUCCUGUGUGUGUGUGUGCGUGUAUGUGUGUGUGCGUGUGUGUGCGUGUGUGUGCGUGUGUGUGCGUGUGUGUGUGUGUGUGUGUAUUUGUGUGCGUGUGUGUGUGUUUCUUCCAGCUCGCCCUUACUAGCAGACCAGCCAAGCCUACUGUUGCAUAUCAGGAGCAGUCAGAACGGGGCUGAACAUGGCGAGAUCAAAUAUCGAGGGCCUGACAGAGCAGAAGAACCUGGGGAACAUCAUCACAGCAUUACAUCACAGAGCAGAAGAACUUGGGGAACAUUACCACAGCAUUACAUGACAGAGCAGAAGAACCUGGGGAACCCAGCAUAUUUACGGAUGGAAAUAUUGAAAUCGAUAAACUGAUGGGAAUGGCAAAUUUAAAGACUUUGUCUAAAGAACACUAACAACUGAUAAACGACUACAUUUCAGAGGAAAAAAACAAAACAAAUUGUUUUUGUUAAUUAUCUACCUGUAUUGUGGAAAAAUCAUGUAAGAAAACCCCUACCAGCGCUACAUGGAAGAAACACUCUCAGACGCAUGGGAACCCAAAAGAAGCUUUCAGAUUGUGGACAUACUUUCAUAUUCUUUGACUUAAAAUUCUAUUGUCAUUAUGUUAUUGUAUUACAUUAUUUUAGCCCAAAUGAUGUAUCUGAGAGUUAUGAGAACAAGUCUUCUUUCUGAGCAAGGAGCAGAGGCCGAUUCUUGUCCCGUUUUGUAGUAUUAUGGUAUUCAUGUUAUUAUUUUACUCACAGUUGUUUUUAAUCAGUAUUUUGUGCUCCGGUGGAUGUGGAGGUGUCUGAGUGGAUGAACUCUUUAUAUCAUACAUGUGAUUGGAUGGUAAAAGGAGACUGAUUGUUUAUUCGCUAUGACAUCAUUCCUUCAUGUGGAUGGAGCUUUCUCAGUGACAUCAUAUAGAAUGUUGGGGUCCUGUUACCACAGAGACAUUGUUGCCGUGGAGAACAGACAUUUAUUGCCUUCAAAGGUGUGUGUGUGUGUGUGUGUGUGUGUGUGUGUGUGUGUGUGUGUGUGUGUGUG